GUACCCAUGCAGAAGCACAUAUGCAAAACUGGAUCACUACAGAGAAGAUUAGCAGGGCCCUGAGCACGGAUGACAUGCUAAUUCGUGGGGCAUUCAGUAUUCUU
This 104-nucleotide small nuclear RNA is filed under the name Sciurus vulgaris (Eurasian red squirrel). Lineage: Eukaryota; Metazoa; Chordata; Mammalia; Rodentia; Sciuridae. The record is from RNAcentral.